Molecule: long non-coding RNA, 320 nt
Organism: Triticum aestivum (bread wheat)
Lineage: Eukaryota; Viridiplantae; Streptophyta; Magnoliopsida; Poales; Poaceae
Exons: 3
Source: RefSeq, a predicted model, not a curated record
UUAGUUGAGACUCCCAUUGCUAAGGAGUUGUUAUUUGAAACAAAGUUAUCUGCUACUGCCCAGUCGCGUGCUCGUAGGCAUCUUUCUCGUCGCUCAUCUAAUAACCAACCGAGUGUAUUUCUUCUCUUUUUAUAUCCUUUGGACGUCAGUUUGUCUGUAACUACGACGCUUUGCCGAUCUUGAUCGGACUCUGCUCUUCGGCAAACUUCGGGCACAGAAGCUAACAACUCCCACGAAGGUGCAGAUUGAAUCCUGCCUCGGAUGUGAGAUAAUCACAAUCUAGUAGAACAGGAUCACACGUUUUCUUUCCGGCCAGGUAA